Long non-coding RNA from Pseudophryne corroboree (corroboree frog), 1188 nucleotides. RefSeq lists it as uncharacterized. Lineage: Eukaryota; Metazoa; Chordata; Amphibia; Anura; Myobatrachidae. The record is from RefSeq and is a predicted model, not a curated record. The transcript has 5 exons.
AGUACCUGGCACCGUGGGGAAAUAUCUGGCACUGGGGACAUAUGUGGCACUGGGAGCACAGCCCUAGCAACAAGGACUACCUCCUAGCAACGAGCAUGACACCCAGUGCAUGAAACACCUGACAACGAGCAUGACACCCAGUGCAUGAAACACCUGGCAACGAGCAUGACACCCAGUGCAUGAAACCCCUGACAACGAGAAGGUGCUCCUCAGGUAACGACAAGAACCAUGGAUCAAGAUUUACUUACAUGAUGACAUCUCAAAUUUACAUCUCUAUACAUUUACCAACCCGUGCAAAUCAGAAACUCCCGCGCGAAGAACGGAGAGACUGAACAUCUGAAAAUGAGCGCACUCUACCUGAACUCACCAGCUGACCGACCCUGAAAAGCCCUGCCUCAGCCCAAGAAGCAAAGGCCAGGCUGUGGAGUCCUGGAACAAAUUCGGGGUUAUGAAGAAAAGAAGUCAAGGGGGACCACUUAGAAGAGAUGUCUCCCGAUACUACUUGGCUGACACAGUAAACGUCUCACUGGUAAAGGGGAAUCAAUGGACGGCUUGGAAUGAGGCUGAUUCAGAAUGACGAGAACUUCCUCGAGGUUACCGACAUAGUACAGAAAGGACCACUCUUCAAUAUACUACGUAUAGGAGACGAAUUAAUAAAGUUUAACAACAAAAAAGUUCUGGGAUGGACUGUGGAGGAAUUCUGGGCUCUUGAGAGUGAUAAAGAUGGAAGCCAUAUUUGUUCAUAAGACUCCAUUUAUAAUUGACAUCUGACAAGCUGUUUCAAAUUGUUUUCAGCUUAGAGCUGACACAGGAAAAAGUACAGACACUGCACUUUGUUUGAACCCAUAUUGUGAAGUUAUGACCUUUAUCUAAGAUAUAUUUUACGGUAAUUUCCUAGCAGAAAUAUAAUGUCAGCAGCUAGACAUGUGAGCUUCACAGGGUAUUUGUCAGUUUGCGGUAUAGCAGGUGUAAAAAUAUAACCAGACAUAUGUAGGUUUCGAGGUUAGCAAAAAAAAACCCAGUUAUUCCACUUAAGAGCACAUAUAAAAAAUACAGACGUUGGCAAACAUAUUACGUAUAAGAUAUAAGUUUUAUUAGCCAAUAGGAUUAAGCUUCAUGUCAGAAAUCGACGACACGAUAUGUUAAUUUGUAUCACUUUAUAAUGUACUGCUGGUAGGAAAUAAAGCU